RNAcentral lists this long non-coding RNA (242 nucleotides) under Malus domestica (apple). RNAcentral describes it as "long non-coding RNA (MDOM_LNC011376)". Lineage: Eukaryota; Viridiplantae; Streptophyta; Magnoliopsida; Rosales; Rosaceae. The record is from RNAcentral.
AUACAACAUCGCUGGCCUUAUUGCCGUCCUAUAAAAUUUUCCCUUGAGCUUCAGUGACCUACGACGGUCACACAACACGCCGGAUGCACUCUUACACUUCAUCCAUCAUCCAUCCAGCUUGUAUUCUAUGGUUGAGAUCUCCAUCUAAUUCUCCGUUCUCUUGCAAGAUAGAUCCUAGGUAGCGAAAACGGUCGCUUUUUGUGAUCUUCGCUAGAUUGCUCCGGUCAUUAGUGUGGAUAAGU